CUGCACAUUCUAUGCUCAACAUAACCAUGACUAAACUCAUCAGCCUCCACAUCAAACCUGGUCUUCUUCCUUUCUUCAUGUGGUCUUGACUGAUUUCCUCUGCACAAGCCAGAAUCUAUCUAGCCCAUUAAGUGAAGGCUCUAUGCCAUCCACAGGGCUGACUGCCUUUUAAACACAGAACAUCCGUCUUCCCUACCAUUGUGUGCCUAGCUCUGUGUCUAACUCCAGGAACGCCUAAAGCAAACUUACUUCACCAUUUCCACAUUCCACUACCACAGACCCCAGGAUCUGGACCACCAGGCGUAUCUUCCUUGGAGAGUCGGCUUCUCAUAGGAGAGUCCUUCUCAUCCUUGCAGUGCCUGGCACAAGCAGCUCCAAGGAUGACAGCACCACUGCAGAUUAUACGAGAUGAGUGUCAGCCAUCACCGCUCACCAUGGGCCUGACUUGCCCGGCCUCCUUGAACCGAUGAGGGUGGUUCAAGCUUCAUUCUAGCUUCAGGCCCUCAACAAAUUGGAUGAUGUCCACCCACACUGGAGAGGACCAUGUGCUUACUUAGUCCAUCAAUUCAAAUGAUAAUCUCUUCCAGAAACAUCCUUACAG
RNAcentral lists this long non-coding RNA (601 nucleotides) under Equus caballus (horse). Its description in RNAcentral is "lncRNA (ENSECAG00000041801.2)". Lineage: Eukaryota; Metazoa; Chordata; Mammalia; Perissodactyla; Equidae. The record is from RNAcentral.